This 497-nucleotide ribosomal RNA is filed under the name uncultured bacterium. RNAcentral describes it as "partial 16S ribosomal RNA". It matches the Rfam family "Bacterial small subunit ribosomal RNA", at positions 28 to 507 of the family's 1533-position model. The record is from RNAcentral.
GAUGAACGCUGGCGGCGUGCCUAAUACAUGCAAGUCGAGCGAACAGACGAGGAGCUUGCUCCUCUGACGUUAGCGGCGGACGGGUGAGUAACACGUGGAUAACCUACCUAUAAGACUGGGAUAACUUCGGGAAACCGGAGCUAAUACCGGAUAAUAUAUUGAACCGCAUGGUUCAAUAGUGAAAGACGGUUUUGCUGUCACUUAUAGAUGGAUCCGCGCCGCAUUAGCUAGUUGGUAAGGUAACGGCUUACCAAGGCAACGAUGCGUAGCCGACCUGAGAGGGUGAUCGGCCACACUGGAACUGAGACACGGUCCAGACUCCUACGGGAGGCAGCAGUAGGGAAUCUUCCGCAAUGGGCGAAAGCCUGACGGAGCAACGCCGCGUGAGUGAUGGAGGUCUUCGGAUCGUAAAACUCUGUUGUUAGGGAAGAACAAAUGUGUAAGUAACUAUGCACGUCUUGACGGUACCUAAUCAGAAAGCCACGGCUAACUACGUG